RNAcentral lists this transfer RNA (71 nucleotides) under Rhomboptera ligata. Its description in RNAcentral is "tRNA-Val". The record is from RNAcentral. Lineage: Eukaryota; Metazoa; Arthropoda; Insecta; Orthoptera; Tettigoniidae.
CAAAAUAGGACUUAGUAGUUAAGUAUUUCAUUUACAUUGAAGGUGGUUCUGUGCAAUUCAGGAUAUUUUGA